UUUUCGUUGACAUUCUUCCCCUAUUUGUCCGGCAGUGUGCCCCCUCUUCUUUUUACAUUUCCUCCCUCAAGAUUUUUGCCCCCCCCCCCCCCCAGUUUUGUUGUCUUUGAGAGAGGAAGAGACAAGCGCAGAAAAAGGUAGAUAGUUGUUGAGUAUACUAUUUUUUGUUUACGGCUAGUUUUUCUUUAGCCACACUUUAAAAUUGGCUCAU
Caenorhabditis elegans is the source of this 211-nucleotide non-coding RNA. The record is from Ensembl. Lineage: Eukaryota; Metazoa; Nematoda; Chromadorea; Rhabditida; Rhabditidae.